CAGCAGCCACGGUAAUACGGAGGGUGCAAGCGUUAUCCGGAUUUAUUGGGUUUAAAGGGUCCGUAGGCUGAUCUGUAAGUCAGUGGUGAAAUCUCACAGCUUAACUGUGAAACUGCCAUUGAUACUGCAGGUCUUGAGUAAAUUUGAAGUGGCUGGAAUAAGUAGUGUAGCGGUGAAAUGCAUAGAUAUUACUUAGAACACCAAUUGCGAAGGCAGGUCACUAAGAUUUAACUGACGCUGAUGGACGAAAGCGUGGGGAGCGAACAGGAUUAGAUACCCCCGUAGUCCCUGUCUCUUAUAC
This 301-nucleotide ribosomal RNA is filed under the name uncultured bacterium. Its description in RNAcentral is "partial 16S ribosomal RNA". It matches the Rfam family "Bacterial small subunit ribosomal RNA", at positions 509 to 807 of the family's 1533-position model. The record is from RNAcentral.